Molecule: ribosomal RNA, 913 nt
Filed under: uncultured Nitrososphaerota archaeon
Lineage: Archaea; Thermoproteati; Nitrososphaerota
Description: bacterial SSU rRNA
Rfam family: Archaeal small subunit ribosomal RNA
Source: RNAcentral
UUCCGGUUGAUCCUGCCGGACCUGACUGCUAUCGGAUUGAUACUAGGCCAUGCGAGUCAUUGUAGCAAUACAAGGCAUACGGCUCAGUAACGCGUAGUCAACCUACCCUAUGGACGGAAAUAACCUCGGGAAACUGAGAAUAAUAUCCGAUAGAACAUUAUGCCUGGAAUGGUUUAUGUUCCAAAUGAUUUAUCGCCGUAGGAUGGGACUGCGGCCUAUCAGUUUGUUGGUGAGGUAAUGGCCCACCAAGACUAUUACAGGUACGGGCUCUGAGAGGAGUAGCCCGGAGAUGUGUACUGAGACACGGACCCAGGCCCUAUGGGGCGCAGCAGGCGAGAAAACUUUGCAAUGUGCGAAAGCACGACAAGGUUAAUCCGAGUGAUUUCUGCUAAAGAAAUCUUUUGUUAGUCCUAGAAACACUAACGAAUAAGGGGUGGGCAAGUUCUGGUGUCAGCCGCCGCGGUAAAACCAGCACCUCAAGUGGUCAGGAUGAUUAUUGGGCCUAAAGCAUCCGUAGCCGGCUCUGUAAGUCCUCGGUUAAAUCUGUACGCUUAACGUACAGGCUGCCGGGAAUACUGCAUAGCUAGGGAGUGGGAGAGGUAGACGGUACUCGGUAGGAAGGGGUAAAAUCCUUUGAUCUAUUGAUGACCACCUGUGGCGAAGGCGGUCUACCAGAACACGUCCGACGGUGAGGGAUGAAAGCUGGGGGAGCAAACCGGAUUAGAUACCCGGGUAGUCCCAGCUGUAAACUAUGCAAACUCAGUGAUGCAUUGGCUUGUGGCCAAUGCAGUGCUGCAGGGAAGCCGUUAAGUUUGCCGCCUGGGAAGUACGUACGCAAGUAUGAAACUUAAAGGAAUUGGCGGGGGAGCACCACAAGGGGUGAAGCCUGCGGUUCAWUUGGAGUCAACGCCGG